GAAACAUUAUACUGGAAUGACAGCAUAAAUCAUCCCCAUAGGAGUCUGAGCAGUCUAGGCAGUAAUCUUAUAGAGCCCUGCUGAGGUAAAUAAGAACACUAAUUUGAAAUAAAUAAAAGACCAAUGGUGCUAAUGUGGGUGUCUCAAGAAUGUCAUUAAGUUUGUAAUGACAGUGUUUAUUUGGUGUAACGAUACUGGAUGUAGUAUAAUGCUGCUGUUUAAAUCAUAACUUUAUAGUUCAUGAUCCUGUCUCUUUUUCUUCAGAGAGUMUGUCAAGUUGGCUGUGUUUCCACAUCUAUCCUCCAAACCCCAGCGCUUUGUCGAAGGGCUUACGCGCAUGUGAAAUGUGAUUUUGAGUGAGUUCUGUUCCUCAUGCUGAAUACAAAAUUGGAAAAAAGCAAUAGAUGAUGCUAACAGGGCUGUCCAGUUGGAUCUUGCAAACCCUGAUAUAUACUGUAUCAGGGCGCUUGUGUGGAGUAGCGCAGAACAGAAAAAGAGAGCCAUUGUUGACUAAACUACAGCCUCAAGCUGAAUCCUUCUCAUGUCUGUGCUUUAAUCAUAAGGGGUGCCAUCAUAAAUAAUCUUAUGGCAAAAGGGAGCCUGCAGCCUUUAGAAAAAAAUAAAAGACCAUGAAAAGGUAUAGAAAUUUUUGUU
RNAcentral lists this long non-coding RNA (654 nucleotides) under Dromaius novaehollandiae (emu). Its description in RNAcentral is "lncRNA (ENSDNVG00000001719.1)". The record is from RNAcentral. Lineage: Eukaryota; Metazoa; Chordata; Aves; Casuariiformes; Dromaiidae.